RNAcentral lists this ribosomal RNA (488 nucleotides) under uncultured bacterium. Its description in RNAcentral is "bacterial SSU rRNA". It matches the Rfam family "Bacterial small subunit ribosomal RNA", at positions 28 to 520 of the family's 1533-position model. The record is from RNAcentral.
GACGAACGCUGGCGGCAUGCCUAAUACAUGCAAGUCGAACGCUGAAGCACUCUGCUUGCAGAGUGCGGAUGAGUGGCGAACGGGUGAGUAACACGUGGGAAAUCUGCCUAGGAGUGGGGGAUAACAUUCGGAAACGGAUGCUAAUACCGCAUAUCUUUUUGAACCGCAUGGUUCUUAAACGAAAGACGGCUUCGGCUGUCGCUCUUAGAUGAUCCCGCGGCGUAUUAGUUAGUUGGUGGGGUAAAGGCCUACCAAGACCAUGAUACGUAGCCGACCUGAGAGGGUGAUCGGCCACACUGGGACUGAGACACGGCCCAGACUCCUACGGGAGGCAGCAGUAGGGAAUCUUCCACAAUGGGUGAAAACCUGAUGGAGCAAUGCCGCGUGAAUGAAGAAGGUCUUCGGAUCGUAAAGCUCUGUCUUCAGGGUACGAUAAUGACGGUACCUGAGGAGGAAGCCACAGCUAACUACGUGCCAGCAGCCGACGG